GCCACUCUAGUCUACGCGGGACAAUCCUCUGAAGAAGACGGUGGGUGUUGGUCCUCAGCAGCCAAUACUGACAGCUGCAGGAGAUGACACGUCCUGGGGACAGAGACGUCUUUGGAACCCCAGGAGUGAAUCAGACCACCCAGGAGGAGACAACAGAGUAACCAGAGAAGACAGAGCCUUGAGGACUUUGAAUAUCAAGGCUGAGAAUUCUCCAGGGAUGAGAUGAGUGUCUUCCCCAUCAGACCAGGAGCUCCCUGAGAGUGGGACAAUGGCAUCUCUUCACUUCUUUUUUCCCCGAGGUGUUCGACAACGCUCUGCGUGCAGAAGAUACCCACUGCAGGAGAGAGGUCUGCUGACGACCCCAGGGGCAGGCAACUUCCAGCUUCAACUCAGCAGACCUGCCCUUGGCCCAGCAAUGUGGGAAGGGUGAAGGCAGUGUCAGCCGCAGUGGGUGCUGCAGAUACAAGGGUGAGGAAGACCAGCUGUGAGAUGCAUGGGCACCAGGGAGUGUCCGUCUUGUGACCUGCCGUAGAACCUGGCGUCUGCUCGGGGCUUGCUUCUCUAUAGGAGCUCAGUUAGUGAUGAUGGCUGAAUGUGUAAGUGAAUGAAUGGGUGAAUGAGAGAGUGAAUGAAGACCUGGUUCCUGCCAUUGAGAAGCUCACACUCCAUGAGGGAAGGAACAAAGCUCACUUCUUUUGCGUGCCUCUGUGUGUUGGACACAAUUUUCAGCUUUUUCAUGUAUAUCACCUUAUCUAGUCCUCAGACCAACGCUAAAGGAUAAGCUCUAUGUUCUCUACUUUAUAAAUGAGGAAACUGGGGGGCGCCUGGGUGGCACAGCGGUUAAGCGUCUGCUU
Molecule: long non-coding RNA, 854 nt
Organism: Ailuropoda melanoleuca (giant panda)
Lineage: Eukaryota; Metazoa; Chordata; Mammalia; Carnivora; Ursidae
Exons: 3
Source: RefSeq, a predicted model, not a curated record